This 14817-nucleotide long non-coding RNA is filed under the name Populus trichocarpa (black cottonwood). RNAcentral's name for it is "long non-coding RNA (PTRI_LNC001714)". Lineage: Eukaryota; Viridiplantae; Streptophyta; Magnoliopsida; Malpighiales; Salicaceae. The record is from RNAcentral.
CACAGGGUAUUCAACUAAGAUUAAUGACCAUAAGAUAUACUUGAAAGUUCUGGCUGUCAAUGCUUGCUUUCUAAUAAAUGUCUGAUACAGAAAGAUUUUUGGAUUCAUGCAGGCGGUUUCACAUUGCCAGUCAAAAGUGGCGAGACCUACAUGCUACGGUUGAUCAAUGCAGCACUCAAUGAAGAGCUCUUCUUCAAAAUUGCAGGGCAUAAGCUUACAGUCGUCGAAGUUGAUGCCACCUAUGUUAAACCAUUCAAAACCGAUACAGUCCUAAUUGCCCCAGGCCAGACCACCAAUGUCCUUGUCACAACUAACAAAAAUACAGGCAAGUACUUGGUUGCUGCCUCCCCGUUCAUGGAUUCUCCAAUUGCUGUGGACAACAUGACAGCAACAGCCACUUUGCAGUAUUCAGGAGCACUUGCUAACUCCCCUACAACUCUCACCACCCCACCUCCAAAGAAUGCCACUGCAGUUGCCAACCAAUUUACCAACUCUCUACGCAGCCUUAACUCAAGAAGAUUUCCUGCCAAAGUCCCAUUGAACGUUGAUCACAACCUUUUCUUUACAGUUAGUCUAGGAGUUAACCCAUGUCCAAGUUGCAAAGCUGGUAAUGGCAGCAGGGUUGUUGCUAGUAUUAACAAUGUCACAUUUGUGAUGCCAACCACUGCCCUGCUCCAAGCACAUUUCCUCAACAUCAGCGGUGUGUUCACCACUGAUUUUCCUGCAAAGCCACCGCAUGUUUUCAAUUACACUGGCACUCCACCUACAAAUUUACAGACCAAAAGUGGAACUAAAGUUUAUAGGCUGAGCUACAACUCGACAGUCCAACUUGUUAUGCAAGAUACUGGUAUCAUAUCCCCUGAGAACCAUCCGAUCCAUUUACAUGGAUUCAAUUUCUUUGCUGUCGGUAGGGGAGUAGGGAAUUACAAUCCGAAGACUGAUACUAAGAAGUUUAACCUCGUUGAUCCUGUUGAACGGAACACAAUUGGAGUACCUUCUGGUGGAUGGGUGGCGAUAAGAUUUCGCGCCGAUAAUCCAGGUAAUUGCUGUUUAAUGUUUUCGUUUGGAAGUACAGAGCUUGGCAUUUUCAAGUUUGUUUAAUUUCAUGUUCUCUGAUUUUCUUCUUCGCAUCUCUUGUAGGAGUUUGGUUCAUGCAUUGCCAUCUAGAGGUGCACACUACAUGGGGACUUAAGAUGGCGUUCUUGGUAGACAAUGGCAAAGGCCCUAAGGAGUCUCUUCUACCGCCGCCAAGCGACCUUCCAAAAUGUUGAAGUCAGAUCAAGAACUAUACUAACUCGAGGGAUAGAAGCCAUACUUUAUCAGGAAACUUGGUCCCGGUAGAAACAUUCUAUGCUCGAAGAGAGCAGAGUGUGUAUAUAUAUAAUUUGAGGGUUAAAGAUCCGAUUUGUUUCUUGAGUGAAUUGGAAGAUUUGCUCAAGCGAGUUUGCAUAAAAUUUUGUGAGCGGUAGAGCUGUUUCAAUUCAAAUGUUAUUUUUUCUUGAAUAAAUAUAUAUAUAUUGAAGAUUUGAUCACAAAGCCAUUCAUGAUCAAUAAAACUUGUAUGCUUCUAAAUAUGUUCAUGGGUCGGGUUGGAUAAGACCUAGAUCAGGCCCGAUUAACUUUUCUAAGUUAUAUUGACCCGUAUCUGGCCAGAAUCGAUCCUUGGGCUUUCAAGCCCUUUAAGAAAUAAAAAAUAAAAAAUAAAAGCAAAAUAAUAUGUAGCAAUAGAAAUUAGUUUUUUUUUUUUUGAGACAAGUAUCGAAAUUGUUAAAGAAUAAGGAAGCAAAGUUUUAGCACGGCGAAACAAAUAUUUAUAUAACGCGGCAAUGAUUAGAAAUUCUAGCAAUGAUUGCAUUUCUUAGACCCAAAAGCUGUAUGUUUUUAAAUAUUUUUGAUAUGGUAAAGUAAGAAAUUAUUAUUUUAAUAUAUUUUAAAAUAAAAAAUUUUAAAAAUUAAUUUUUAUCACAAUCUCAAAUAAACAUUAGGUGAAAAGAAAAAAGAAAAGGAACAAUACAAACUGAAGCAUGGAGUUAGAACUUAAUUUUGUAGUUUAUUAAAAUAAAUAAAUUAAUUAUGGUUUUAACUAUAUAUUUACUCUUUUUGUUUUUAAAACCAUUUAUAACUUAAUAUUUUUCAUCCCUUUUAUGUUGUUUUUUCAAUAUAUUUAUUUUUUGUUUUAAAAACAGAAAAAAGAAAAGAAAAAGAAAAAGAUAAAUUAAGAAGAUUGAUAAAAUAGAAGAUACCUUUAUUUUUUUUCCCAAUAUGCUACGGCUAAAACUGGUUAGGAAAAUAGUGUAGCUGCAGAUGCAUUGGCACUGUUCACUAGAACAUUCUAAUGACAUCUUUGUCUUUUCCAUAAAAAAAACUUAUAACUAGUUUCUGGGAACAUGAAAGUCUUUUGACGAUGUGCAUUAGUCAUUCUUAAAUUAAUUAGGGGCAAUUAUGUCUUUUUCAAUUUAAAAAUACAGUGAAAAGACCGAAAUGCCCUUAAAAGCAAAAAAUUCAAUGCUAGCAUCAAGGGACAAUUUGAUACUUUUAAAAUUGUUUUUUUCUAUUAUUAUCAUGUAAGAUGAGGAGCAAUUUUGUAUUUGGAUAAAUAUAUAUAAAAAAUAAAAAACAUAGUGAAACGAUCAAAAUGUCCUUGGAAGUCUAAACAUAAAAAAAAAUGAUCUCAAGGGACUUUUUCCAUAGGUUUUUAUCUCAAAGCCUUCCCAAACUUCGAUUGAUAUUCAAUUUUAACUCUAUAAAAAAUAAGGUCUGUGAAAUCUUUUGGUAAAAUAUCAAUUCGAUCCAACGUUCAAAUUAAAAAUUAUGCUUGUUAGCGUAAAACUGUACAUUAGAAAAAAAAAGCCCAAAAUUACCUCUCAUUACCCAACCCUUUUAUGGACCACAUUAAUCAAGGCUUAGUCACCUUUUCUUGAAAAUUUAAAACUUGACUUGACCCAAAUAUCUUGAAUAAGCCCAUCGAAUAACUCUUCAAUCUUUUUGGUCGAAUGAUACAAGGUCAAAAUCUUUGGCUUCUCCUUCCUCAUUCUCAUCAACCAUCUCAUCAAUGAUCCUACACCUCACCAAACAUCACAUUCAUCCUCUCAAAUUGUUGUUCUAUAACCAGCAAUUUAAGAUGUCCUCCUUCUUCUUUUCAGAGGAUGCCCCGUCUUUGGAAGACAUUAUCAAAUUUAAAAUUUUACGUUAGUAAUAAAAAACAAUUAUCAUCACUCACUCCCUUAUGUGUUUACACUCUAUAAUCAACGGGUUGUAGUUGUUCAUCCAAUAGCUUCGAUUCUUUGGUUCAAGGUAAACACUAGAUCGAGUUUUUAUCUUCAAUUCGAUUUUAUCUUUUUUGGGUUGUAUUUUUUCUUGUUUAUGAGUUCACAUCACAAGAAACUAUUUUAUAAUAAACCUAAACCUAGGUUCGAGCCACAUCGUGUCGACACGUGCUUGCGUAUGGGUUUAAGUUCAAAACCCACUUUGCUUAUGUCAUUUUCCCUCUAAAAAAUUGGGUUCCUUUUGGUCUCAAUAUUAACUCUUCGCCUUCUCAUUAAAUAAGUCACAAGAAAAACUUAUUUCUUUCCAACACGGAUAGAGUUUUUAAAGGGUUUGGGUUUCACUAAAACAUGUCAAUCAAAGGUUCUUUGAGAAUAAUUUUUUAUUCAUCCAUAAUUUAAUUAAAUCAUAUUAGUGUUCUAUGUUAAAGAGCUUAUAUUGGAUAUUAAAUUCCAACAAAGUUUUAACCCCAAAAAUGAAUGGAUCCACUUUUAAUUUGGCCUCAAAUAUUUCCAUUAACCAUGUUCCAAGACAAAAUUUGCAACAAAAUGUCCCAUUAACAAAGCAGAAUGUUUUUGUUACAAUACUAAUGUCAGUAAAAAUGAGUAGAGAAUGUUGAUGAAUUUAGAUAUAACUAGUUUAUUUUCUACACUAUCAUUGUGGGUUGGAUGAAAUUUUUUUGGAACAUAAGAAAAUAAUAUAUAAACCAUAUGAAACUUUUCGGCAUUGUCAUUAAAUUAGGUGCAACAGUUCAAACUUGACAACUCUUAACAUGACUAUUUGUUUAGCUCAAGUUUUUAAUUAAAUCAUAUGAAAGUUGCUCUUAUGUGACAUUGUUUACUGGGUAGGUGCAAAGAAAAAAAAACACGUUAGGUUCAACCUAAUCAACCCACCAAACUCGUGAUCGAAGUUAUGAGCUUCACUAGGUCAAAUUAAUUUUUUUUAUUUUAUUAUAUAAUAAAAAUAUAAAUUUUUAUUUACCAUCAACACAAUACUAAAAAAUAAAAUUAAAAAGAAAAACUUCACAUUAAAAGAUAAUAUUGAAAGAAAAAAAUAAAAUAUGUAAAAAAUACUCUAAUGGUGUGCUAUGAUAAAGCCAAACACGCGGGCACGUGGGCUUGGGGAAGGCCUGCAGCUUGGGCUGUGCACAUCUUUUUUAUUUGCAAAAAAGAAGAAAAGCAACCUCUCAUCUAUCUUUUGAAAGAAUAUACUGCUAUCUGUAGCUAGGAAUCAAACCCACAACCUCCACACCUACCUCCUUGCUUACCACCACUUGAACUAUGACAAGAACUUAACCAAGCUAUUAAAAUAUAUCAACUUGAUUUUAAUAACUAAGCCAAAUCCAGCCAUUUAGUUGUUCCUUUUUACUAUUAGAUUUGAAAUCAAUGGUUUUAACAAACCAGCAUUUUAGACAUUCCCAAAACAGACGGAUGCGCAAAAGCAUUGAAUUGAAUUGAAAAUAUUGAUCGGAUCAUGCAUGGAUUUUCAUAUAAAAAAAACACAUCACCGUGGAAAGGACCUGGUGAGCACUCAUCAUUAGAAUUCAGAGCCGCAAGUAAUCCUGGGACAUCCUUUACAAGGACUACAAGUAAUGCCUUGAAAAAGAGAGUUCGGCCUACCAAACUUAACCCGUAUUGUUCUUAAAUCUACGAAGAGCACCAGGUCCUAAAAAAGAGUAGCAAAAUAAAAUAAAUUCUAAGGCAACUAAUUGAAAAUGGUGAUUAAUUAAGGUGACUUGUCCGUUGCUGAUCAAUUGACCACAUGUUCUUUUACUCUAUUUUUAUAUUGUUGUGAACCUACUUGAGUAAAUAGCAGGACAAGAGAAUGUUUUCAGGAUAAAUAUGUAGGAAGUGGGUGCCAAAUUUAAUCAUUUAAUUUACAGAUUUCCUAUGCCACCAAAUUAUCAAACUUCCAUGCAAGGUUCCUAAUUAAUAAAUGCAAAAAUUAGAAAACACAUGGUCUGCUUCCCAAACUAUGUUGAUCCAUGAACAAGACGACUUUAUGUAGCAUGUAAGAAACCUAGUAAGAUUAGGCUUCUAAUCCUUGUUUUCCAAGAAUGAACUCACCCACCUAACCUAACUGUGAAAAACGACAUGGCAGCAAUUCCCAUAUUCCCUUUAUAAGGUUGAGGUAGCCAGUCACGGAUGAAGACAACAAGCUUGAAAGCAAGAAGGAAACCAACAGCAACAGAGAGAUUGCCAAAGAAAGGUCUCGAAGUCAGCAAAUAUGGAGUACUCCAAUUUGCUCAUCCGUUUUAUGCUUCUUGCUGUCUGCCUCCUCCCCGCUUUGGUCGAGUGCAGGAUUCGGCAUUACAAGUUCAAUGUAAGUUAAAUGCUGUAGCAAGCUUCCAUGUGACGAAAGCCUGAACUGCUUGCGCUUUAGGUCAUUAGUCUCAUUCAUGUGACGAAAAUCUUCUUUGAAAUGCAUUUCGUUAUUAGAAGAUAGCCAUGUUUUGCACGAUGCAUUGCGCAUCAUGACACUGCCUUGGCUUAAAAUCAUGCAACUUUACCCAUAUCUUUUUCCUGACUAGUCCAUGAUUCAAAUGGAAAUCAUAGAGUUUCCACCUACCUAUAGCCACUAUUUUAAAUACCAGAAAAGUUUAUUCUCAUGCUUACUUUAUGGUUAAAUAAUUGCAGCAGAAAGCUCUCACUAUAUAUAUAUAUAUAUAUAUAUAUAUAUAUAUAUAUAUAUAUAUGUUCAAGAAACCAUUAAAAAAAUAUUAAAUAGGAAAAGGGUGGUAAGAUCUCAAAGCACUGUAGUGACAUAAUUUGUCACAACAAAUUAAACAAUAUGGACAGUUUAGCAUUUGAUGUAGAAAUGAGCUUAAAUAUUUCACCUAUCAUUUCAACAGGUGGUGAUGAAAAAUACUACCAGACUAUGCUCUAGGAAGCCGAUUGUUACCGUCAAUGGCCGCUUCCCAGGACCCACUCUGUAUGCCAGAGAACACGAUACAGUUCUUGUAAAAGUUGUUAACCAUGUCAAAUAUAAUGUUUCUAUUCACUGGUAAGCUAACGAAACAAACCCUGUAUAACAGUUAUACUUCAAUUCAUCAUGAAUGAUACCGAUGCGGAUUUUUCUUGGUAUUCUGCAGGCAUGGCAUUAGGCAACUAAGAACGGGCUGGGCUGAUGGACCAGCAUACAUUACACAAUGCCCCAUUCAGCCAGGGCAAAGCUAUGUCUACAAUUUCACAAUCACUGGUCAGAGGGGCACACUUCUUUGGCACGCACAUAUUCUCUGGCUAAGGGCCACAGUUCAUGGUGCCCUGGUUGUCUUGCCUAAACGCGGCAUCCCCUACCCAUUCCCAGCUCCUCAUAAAGAAGUGCUUGUUGUAUUAGGUGAGCAGGAUACAUAAUAGCUAUUUCUUUCACUAAAACUUUUGAAAUUCUGUGCAUUCCGCCAUAAUUCAAAUCUUUAAGGUUCAUGGUUAUUAAAUAUGUAACCUGAGACUAAGGUGGUGACGUGAAAUUGCAGCUGAAUGGUGGAAAUCAGAUACUGAAGCUGUGAUCAACGAGGCUCUUAAAUCUGGAUUAGCUCCAAAUGUCUCUGAUGCUCACACAAUUAACGGCCAUCCAGGAGCUGUCUCAGCUUGUUCUUCACAGGGUAUUCAACUAAGAUUAAUGACCAUAAGAUAUACCUGUGAGUUCUGGCUCUCAAUGCUUGCUUUCUAAUAGAGGUCUGAUACAGAAAGAUUUUUGGAUUCAUGCAGGCGGUUUCACAUUGCCAGUCAAAAGUGGCGAGACCUACAUGCUACGGUUGAUCAAUGCUGCACUCAAUGAAGAGCUCUUCUUCAAAAUUGCAGGGCAUAAGCUUACAGUCGUCGAAGUGGAUGCCACCUAUGUUAAACCAUUCAAAACCGAUACAGUCCUAAUUGCCCCAGGCCAGACCACCAAUGUCCUUGUCACAGCUAACAAAAAUACAGGCAAGUACUUGGUUGCUGCCUCCCCGUUCAUGGAUGCUCCAAUUGCUGUGGACAACAUGACAGCAACAGCCACUUUGCAGUAUUCAGGAGCACUUGCUAACUCCCCUACAACUCUCACCACCCCACCUCCAAAGAAUGCCACUGCAGUUGCCAACCAAUUUACCAACUCUCUACGCAGCCUUAACUCAAGAAGAUUUCCUGCCAAAGUCCCAUUGAACGUUGAUCACAACCUUUUCUUUACAGUUGGUCUAGGAGUUAACCCAUGUCCAAGUUGCAAAGCUGGUAAUGGCAGCAGGGUUGUUGCUAGUAUUAACAAUGUCACAUUUGUGAUGCCAACCACUGCCCUGCUCCAAGCACAUUUCCUCAACAUCAGCGGUGUGUUCACCACUGAUUUUCCUGCAAAGCCACCGCAUGUUUUCAAUUACACUGGCACUCCACCUACAAAUUUACAGACCAAAAGUGGAACUAAAGUUUAUAGGCUGAGCUACAACUCGACAGUCCAACUUGUUAUGCAAGAUACUGGGAUCAUAUCCCCUGAGAACCAUCCGAUCCAUUUACAUGGAUUCAAUUUCUUUGCUGUCGGUAGGGGAGUAGGGAAUUACAAUCCGAAGACUGAUACUAAGAAAUUUAACCUCGUUGAUCCUGUUGAACGGAACACAAUUGGAGUACCUUCUGGUGGAUGGGUGGCGAUAAGAUUUCGCGCCGAUAAUCCAGGUAAUUGCUGUUUAAUGUUUUCGUUUGGAAGUACAGAGCUUGGCAUUUUCAAGUUUGUUUAAUUUCAUGUUCUCUGAUUUUCUUCUUCGCAUCUCUUGUAGGAGUUUGGUUCAUGCAUUGCCAUCUAGAGGUGCACACUACAUGGGGACUUAAGAUGGCGUUCUUGGUAGACAAUGGCAAAGGCCCUAAGGAGUCUCUUCUACCGCCGCCAAGCGACCUUCCAAAAUGUUGAAGUCAGAUCAAGAACUAUACUAACUCGAGGGAUAGAAGCCAUACUUUAUCAGGAAACUUGGUCCCGGUAGAAACAUUCUAUGAUCGAAGAGAGCAGAGUGUGUAUAUAUAUAAUUUGAGGGUUUAAGAUCCGAUUUGUUUCUUGAGUGAAUUGGAAGAUUUGCUCAAGCGAGUUUUAAUAAAAUUUUGUGAGCGGUAGAGCUGUUUCAAUUCAAAUGUUAUUUUUUCUUGAAUAAAUAUAUCUAUUGAAGAUUUGAUCACGAAGCCAUUCAUGAUCAAUAAAACUUGUAUGUUCUAUAUAUGUUCAUGUGUCGGGUCGGAUUAGACCUAGAUCAGGCCCGAUUAAUUUUUCUAAGCUAUAUUGACCCGAGUCUAGUCAGAAUCGAUACUUGGGCUUUCAAGCCCUUCAAGAAAUUAAAAAAUGAAAGCAAAUAAUAAAUGCUAGAGUUCGAUUAGAACUAGUCUUUUCAUUUUUCAACAAGUAUCAAAAUUGUUAACGACCAAGGAAGCAAAGUUUUAGCACCGUGAAACAAAUAUUUAUAUAUAUAUCACGGCAAUGAUUAGAAAUUCUAGCAAUGAUUGCAUUUCUUAGACCCAAAAGCUGUAUGUUUUUAAAUAUUUUUUAUAGGGUAAUGUUAAAAAUUAUUAUUUUGAUAUAUUUUAAAAUAAAAAAUAAUUUUAAAAAUAAUUUUUAUCAUAUUCUUAAAUAAAUAUUAGGUGAAAAGAGAAAGAAAGGGAAAAAUAUAAACUGAAGCAUGGAGUGACUAGUAACUUAAUUUUGUAGUUUAUUAAAAUAAAUUAAUUAAUUAUAGUUGUAACUAUAUAUUUACUCUCUUUGUUUUUAAAACCAUUUAUAACUUAAUAUUUUUCAUCUAUUAUAUGUUGUUCUUCUAAUUUAUUUAUUUUUUGUUUUAAAAACAAAAAAAAAAGAAAAAGAUAAAAUAAGAAGAUUGAUAAAAUAAAAGAUACCUUCAUUUUUUUUUCAAAUAUGCUAUAGCUAAAAUUGGUUAGGAAAAUAGUGUAGCUGCAGAUAUAUUGACACUGUUCACUAGAACAUUCUAAUGAAGUGAACGUUCUAAUGACGUCUUUGUCUUUUCCAUCAAAAAACUUAUAACUAGUUACUUGGGACAUCAAAGUCUUUUGAUGAGGCACAUUAGUCAUUUCUAAAUUGACUAGGGGAAAUUAUGUCUUUUCCAAUUUAAAAAAUACAGUGAAAUUUCUAAAAUGCUCUUUUAAAAGCAAAAAUCUCAAUAUUGGCAUCAAAGGACAAUUUGAUACUUUUAAAAUGGUUUUUUUUUGUUAUUAUCAUGUAAGAUGAGAAUCAAAAAUAUAUUGAAACGAUUGAAAUGUCCAUAGAAGUCAAAAAAUAAAAUAAAAAUGAUCUUAAAGGGCUUUUUCCAAAGGUUUUUUCAUUAUUAACAUGUAAAAUCAUGGGUGAUUUGAUAUUUGAAUAAAACAAAAUUCAGGCAUAUGUACGACACCAUGAGGCACGCGGGAGGCGCCAACACACUAUGGAUGACGUGUGUGACGCCUUCCAUUGUCCAAAAAUACCCUUUCAUCAUGUCAUUGGAAGCACUGUCGUGUUUUGUUUCCUGUUGGUAUGAUACAUGUCUUUGGUGGUGAUUCAGUUUGUCGUCGAAAGGACUUUCUAUUCUAUUCUUUUUCCUUCUCUUCUCUCUUCUCCCUUAAAAAAUAUAGUUUGCCCUUUUUGUUCUUGAUGUUUCAACUUCAAUAAUUAUUCUUUUGAUUUUUAAUUUUUGUUCCGGGCUCUUUUAUAGAAAUCUUAUUUGUUUUUAAUUUCAUUCUUCAAUCACAAUUCACUAAAUAUCAUAUUCUUUAAUUUGGUCAUUCUUUUGAUUUAUAAUUUUUGUGUAGCCUUAACAAAUAAGGUGUACCUUGCAAAAAUUGGAGCUCUGUUACCGCCUCUCGUGUGUCCAUGUAAAAUAAAGAAACCACUAACUUUUGAAUCCUAAUGAAACAUGGGAACCUUGCCAAUUAAUAACUCUAAUUAUGUCGCCUCAAAUGUCCUUGUAGAAUAAGGAAGUCACUUUAUAGGAAAUCUAUAAGUUAGAAGGAAAGAUAAUCCUAAACCAACUAGGAAACUAAUGCAAUUCCCGCAUAGUACUUUCUAGUUUUUAUCUCAAGGUCUUUCUAAACUCCGAUUGAUAUUUAAUUUUAACCCUAUAAAAAUAAGAUCUGUGAAAUCUUUUGGUAAAAUAUCAAUUCGAUCCAACAUUCAGAUUGAAAAUUAUGAUUGUUAGGGUAAAACUGUAUAUUAGAAGAAAACAAAUGCCCAAAAUUACCUCUCCUUACCCAACCCUUUCAUGGACCACAUUGAUCAAAGCUUAGUCACCCCUUCUUGAAAUUUUGAAACUUGACUUGACCAAAAUAUCUUAAAUAAGCCCAUCGAAUACCUUUUCAAUCUUCUUGGUCGAAUAAUGCAAGGUCAAAAUCUUUGGCUUCUCCUUCCUCAUUCUCAUCAACCAUCUCAUCGAUGAUCCUACACCUCACCAAACAUCACAUUCAUCCUCUCAAAUUGUUGUUCUAUACCCCUAACAAAAAUAAGAUGUUCUCCUCCUCCUUUUUAGAGGAUGCUCCGUCUUUGGAAGACAUUGUCAAAUUUAAAAUUUUACGUUAGCAAUAAAAAACAAUUAUCAUCAUUUACUCCCUUACGUGUUUACACUCAAUAAUCAACGGGUUAUGGUCGUUCAUCCAUUAGCUUCGAUUCUUUGGUUCAAGGUAUUCACUAUAUCAAGUUUUUAUCUUCAAUUCGAUUUGUCUUUUUGGGUUGUAUUUUUUCUUGUUUAUGAGUUCACAUCACAAGAAACUAUUUUAUAAUAAACUCAAACCUAGGCUCAAGCCACAUCAUGUCAACGCGUACUUGCAUAUUCAAAACCCACUUUACUUAUGUCAUUUUCCCUCUAAAAAAUUAGGUUCCUAUUGGUCUCAAUAUUAACUCUUCACCUUCUCACUAAAUAAGCCACAAGAAAAACUUAUUUCUUUCUAAUGUGGGAUAGAGUUUUUAGAAGGCUUUGGGUUUCACUAAAAUAUAUGAAUCAAUGGUUAUUUGAGAAUAAUUUUUUAUUCAUCCACAAUUUAUUUAAAUCAUAUUAGUAGUAUAUGUUAAAGAGCUUAUGUUGGAGAUUAAAUUCCAACACAGUUUUAACCCCAAAAGUGAAUGGAUCCACUUUUAAUUUGGCAUCAAAUAUUUUCAUUAACCAUGUUCCUAGACAAAAUUUGCAACAAAAUAUCCUCCUAACAAAGCAGAAUGUUUUUGUUACAAUACUAAUGUCAGUAAAAAUGAGUAACGGAUGUUGAUGUAUUUAGAUAUAACUAGUUUAUUUCCUACACUAUCGUUGUGGGUUGUAUGAAAUUUUUUUGGAAUAUAAGAAAACAAUAUAUAAAUUAUAUAAAACUUUUUUGCAUUGUUAUUAAACUAAGUACAAUGGUUCAAACUUGACAACUCUCAACAUGACUAUUUGUUUAGCCCAAGUUUUAAAUUAAAUCAUAUGAAAGUUGCCGUUAUGUGACCUUGUUUAUUGGGUAAGUGCAAAGAAAAACAAGGAGCAUGUCAGGUUAAACAUAAUCAACCCGCCAAAACCGUGACAGAAGUUAUAGGCUCUACUAGGUCAAAUUAUUUUUUAUUUUAUUUUAUUAUAUAAUAAAAAAAUAUAAAAUUUGAUUUACCAUUAACCCAAUAACCCAAUACUACAAAAUAAAAUUAAAGAAAAACCUCACAUUAAAGGAAUAAAAAAUAAAUAAAUAUGACAAAAAAUACUCAAAUGGUGUGUUACGAUAAAGCCAAACACGUGGGCUUGGGGAGGCCCACAGACGUGGCCCGUACACCUUUUUUUUAUUUGAAAAAAAAAAUCAACAUUCUCAUUUUUUAUUUGAAAAAAUAUAUUGCUGUCAGUAGGAAUCGAACCCAACACCUAUCUGCUUACUUACAACCACUUGAAUUAUGAAACGAACUACGAACUUGUUAACUAAGCUGUUAAAAUAUAUCAACUUAAUUUGAAUAAUUAAGUCAAAUCAAGUCAUUUAGUUGUUUCCUUUUUACUAUUAGAUUUGAAAUCAAUGGUUUUAACAAACCAGCAUUUUAGACUUUCCCAAAACAGACGUAUGCGCAAAAACAUUGAAUUGAAUUGAAAAUAUUGAUCUGAUCAUGCAUGGAUUUUCAUAUAAAAAAAACACAUCACCGUGGAAAGGACCUGGUGAGCAUUCAUCAGUAGAAUUCAGAGUCGCAAGUAAUCCUGGGACAUCCUUUACAAGGACUACAAGUAAUGCCUUGAAAAAGAGAGUUCGGCCUACCCAACUUGUAACCCGUAUUGUUCUUACAUCUACGAAGAGCACUACGUCGUAAAAAAGAGUAACAAAAUAAAAUAAACUCUAAGGCAACCAAAUGAAAAUGGUGAUUAAUUAAGGUGACUUGUCUGUUGCUGAUCAAUUGACCUCAUGUUCUUUUACUCUAUUUUUAUAUUGUUGUGAACCUACUUGAGUAAAAAGGACGACAAGAGAAUGUUUUCAGGAUUAAUAUGUAGGAAGUGGGUGCCAAAUUUAAUCAUUUAAUUUACAGAUAUCCUAUGCCAAGAAAUUAUCAAACUUCCAUGCAAGGUUCCUAAUUAAUAAAUGCAAAAAUUAGAAAACACAUGUUCUGCUUCCCAAUCUAUGUUGAUCCAUGAACAAGAAGACUUUAUGUAGCAUGUAAGAAACCUAGUAAGAUUAGGCUUCUAAUCCUUGUUUUCCAAGAAUGAACUCACCCACCUAACCUAACUGUGAAAAACGACAUGGCAGCAAUUCCCAUAUUCCCUUUAUAAGGUUGAGGUAGCCAGUCACGGAUGAAGACAACAAGCUUGAAAGCAAGAAGGAAACCAACAGCAACAGAGAGAUUGCCAAAGAAAGGUCUCGAAGUCAGCAAAUAUGGAGUACUCCAAUUGGCUCAUCCGUUUUAUGCUUCUUGCUGUCUGCCUCCUCCCUGCUUUGGUCGAGUGCAGGAUUCGGCAUUACAAGUUCAAUGUAAGUUAAAUGCUGUAGCAAGCUUCCAUGUGACGAAAGCGUGAACUGCUUGAGCUUUCGGUCAUUAGUCUCAUUCAUGUGACGAAAAUCUUCUUUGAAAUGCAUUUCGUUAUUAGAAGAUAGCCAUGUUUUGCACGAUGCAUUGCACAUCAUGACACUGCCUUGGCUUAAAAUCAUGCAACUUUACCCAUAUCUUUUUCCUGACUAGUCCAUGAUUCAAAUGGAAAUCAUAGAGUUUCCACCUACCUAUAGCCACUAUUUUAAAUACCAGAAAAGUUUAUUCUCAUGCUUACUUUAUGGUUAAAUAAUUGCAGCAGAAAGCUCUCACUAUAUAUAUAUAUAUAUAUAUAUAUAUAUGUUCAAGAAACCAUUAAAAAAAUAUUAAAUAGGAAAAGGGUGGUAAGAUCUCAAAGCACUGUAGUGACAUAAUUUGUCACAACAAAUUAAACAAUAUGGACAGUUUAGCAGUCAUGACCUUUGAAUUAUAUACAUUUGAUGUAGAAAUGAGCUUAAAUAUUUCACCUAUCAUUUCAACAGGUGGUGAUGAAAAAUACUACCAGACUAUGCUCUAGGAAGCCGAUUGUUACCGUCAAUGGCCGCUUCCCAGGACCCACUCUGUAUGCCAGAGAACACGAUACAGUUCUUGUAAAAGUUGUUAACCAUGUCAAAUAUAAUGUUUCUAUUCACUGGUAAGCUAACGAAACAAACCCCGUAUAACAGUUAUACUUCAAUUGAUCAUGAAUGAUACCGAUGCGGAUUUUUCUUGGUAUUCGGCAGGCAUGGCAUUAGGCAACUAAGAACGGGCUGGGCUGAUGGACCAGCAUACAUUACACAAUGCCCCAUUCAGCCAGGGCAAAGCUAUGUCUACAAUUUCACAAUCACUGGUCAGAGGGGCACACUUCUUUGGCACGCACAUAUUCUCUGGCUAAGGGCCACAGUUCAUGGUGCCAUGGUUGUCUUGCCUAAACGCGGCAUCCCCUACCCAUUCCCAGCUCCUCAUAAAGAAGUGGUUGUUGUAUUAGGUGAGCACGAUACAUAAUAGUUAUUUCUUUCACUAAAACUUUUGAAAUUAUGUGCAUUCCGACCAUAAUUCAAUGCUUUAAGGUUCAUGUUUAUUAAAUAUGUAACCUGAGACUAAUGUGGUGACGUGAAAUUGCAGCUGAAUGGUGGAAAUCAGAUACUGAAGCUGUGAUCAACGAGGCUCUUAAAUCUGGAUUAGCUCCAAAUGUCUCUGAUGCUCACACAAUUAACGGCCAUCCAGGAGCUGUCUCAGCUUGUUCUUCACAGGGUAUUCAACUAAGAUUAAUGACCAUAAGAUAUACCUGAGAGUUCUGGCUCUCAAUGCUUGCUUUCUAAUAAAGGUCUGAUACAGAAAGAUUUUUGGAUUCAUGCAGGCGGUUUCACAUUGCCAGUCAAAAGUGGCGAGACCUACAUGCUACGGUUGAUCAAUGCUGCACUCAAUGAAGAGCUCUUCUUCAAAAUUGCAGGGCACAAGCUUACAGUCGUCGAAGUUGAUGCCACCUAUGUUAAACCAUUCAAAACCGAUACAGUCCUAAUUGCCCCAGGCCAGACCACCAAUGUCCUUGUCACAACUAACAAAAAUACAGGCAAGUACUUGGUUGCUGCCUCCCCGUUCAUGGAUGCUCCAAUUGCUGUGGACAACAUGACAGCA